AUUGAACGCUGGCGGAACGCUUUACACAUGCAAGUCGAACGGCAGCACGGACUUCGGUCUGGUGGCGAGUGGCGAACGGGUGAGUAAUGUAUCGGAACGUGCCCAGUCGUGGGGGAUAACCUAGUGAAAAUUACGCUAAUACCGCAUACGAUCUAUGGAUGAAAGCGGGGGAUCGCAAGACCGUGCGCGAUUGGAGCGGCCGAUAUCAGAUUAGGUAGUUGGUGGGGUAAAGGCCCACCAAGCCAACGAUCUGUAGCUGGUCUGAGAGGACGACCAGCCACACUGGAACUGAGACACGGUCCAGACUCCUACGGGAGGCAGCAGUGGGGAAUUUUGGACAAUGGGCGAAAGCCUGAUCCAGCCAUUCCGCGUGCAGGAUGAAGGCCCUCGGGUUGUAAACUGCUUUUGUACAGAACGAAAAGGUUUCUACUAAUACUAGGAGCUCAUGACGGUACUGUAAGAAUAAGUACCGGCUAACUACGUGCCAGCAGCCGCCGUAA
RNAcentral lists this ribosomal RNA (500 nucleotides) under uncultured bacterium. RNAcentral describes it as "partial 16S ribosomal RNA". It matches the Rfam family "Bacterial small subunit ribosomal RNA", at positions 30 to 523 of the family's 1533-position model. The record is from RNAcentral.